RNAcentral lists this ribosomal RNA (515 nucleotides) under uncultured bacterium. RNAcentral describes it as "partial 16S ribosomal RNA". It matches the Rfam family "Bacterial small subunit ribosomal RNA", at positions 28 to 523 of the family's 1533-position model. The record is from RNAcentral.
GAUGAACGCUGGCGGCGUGCCUAAUACAUGCAAGUCGAGCGAAUGGAUUAAGAGCUUGCUCUUAUGAAGUUAGCGGCGGACGGGUGGGUAACACGUGAGUAACCUGCCCAUAAGACUGGGAUAACUCCGGGAAACCGGGGCUAAUACCGGAUAACAUUUUGAACCGCAUGGUUCGAAAUUGAAAGGCGGCUUCGGCUGUCACUUAUGGAUGGACCCGCGUCGCAUUAGCUAGUUGGUGAGGUAACGGCUCACCAAGGCAACGAAGCGUAGCCGACCUGAGAGGGUGAUCGGCCACACUGGGACUGAGACACGGCCCAGACUCCUACGGGAGGCAGCAGUAGGGAAUCUUCCGCAAUGGACGAAAGUCUGACGGAGCAACGCCGCGUGAGUGAUGAAGGCUUUCGGGUCGUAAAACUCUGUUGUUAGGGAAGAACAAGUGCUAGUUGAAUAAGCUGGCACCUUGACGGUACCUAACCAGAAAGCCACGGCUAACUACGUGCCAGCCGCCGCCGUAA